RNAcentral lists this ribosomal RNA (574 nucleotides) under uncultured bacterium. Its description in RNAcentral is "bacterial SSU rRNA". It matches the Rfam family "Bacterial small subunit ribosomal RNA", at positions 338 to 862 of the family's 1533-position model. The record is from RNAcentral.
CCUACGGGAGGCAGCAGUGGGGAAUCUUGCGCAAUGGGCGAAAGCCUGACGCAGCCAUGCCGCGUGAAUGAUGAAGGUCUUAGGAUUGUAAAAUUCUUUCACCGGGGACGAUAAUGACGGUACCCGGAGAAGAAGCCCCGGCUAACUUCGUGCCAGCAGCCGCGGUAAUACGAAGGGGGCUAGCGUUGCUCGGAAUUACUGGGCGUAAAGGGAGCGUAGGCGGACAUUUAAGUCAGGGGUGAAAUCCCGGGGCUCAACCUCGGAAUUGCCUUUGAUACUGGGUGUCUUGAGUAUGAGAGAGGUGUGUGGAACUCCGAGUGUAGAGGUGAAAUUCGUAGAUAUUCGGAAGAACACCAGUGGCGAAGGCGACACACUGGCUCAUUACUGACGCUGAGGCUCGAAAGCGUGGGGAGCAAACAGGAUUAGAUACCCUGGUAGUCCACGCCGUAAACGAUGAUUGCUAGUUGUCGGGAUGCAUNCAUUGUGACGCANNACNCAUANNANCNCUGGAGACGUCGCAGAUAAACUACAANAGAGUAGAGCGUGAGAGNGCGACGACGACACGAGGGAGAGG